This 494-nucleotide ribosomal RNA is filed under the name uncultured bacterium. RNAcentral's name for it is "partial 16S ribosomal RNA". It matches the Rfam family "Bacterial small subunit ribosomal RNA", at positions 28 to 523 of the family's 1533-position model. The record is from RNAcentral.
GAUGAACGCUAGCGGCAGGCUUAACACAUGCAAGUCGAGGGGUAGAUUACUUCGGUAAUUGAGACCGGCGCACGGGUGCGUAACGCGUAUACAAUCUACCUUUUACAGAGGGAUAGCCCAGGGAAAUUUGGAUUAAUACCUCAUAGUAUUUUCGAAUCGCAUGAUUUGAUUAUUAAAGUUCCAACGGUAAAAGAUGAGUAUGCGUCCCAUUAGCUAGAUGGUAAGGUAACGGCUUACCAUGGCUACGAUGGGUAGGGGUCCUGAGAGGGAGAUCCCCCACACUGGUACUGAGACACGGACCAGACUCCUACGGGAGGCAGCAGUGAGGAAUAUUGGACAAUGGGCGCAAGCCUGAUCCAGCCAUGCCGCGUGCAGGAAGAAGGUCCUAUGGAUUGUAAACUGCUUUUAUACAGGAAGAAACACCUCUACGUGUAGAGACUUGACGGUACUGUAUGAAUAAGGACCGGCUAACUCCGUGCCAGCCGCCGCGGUAA